CAGGACCACCUGCUCGAACCUUGUGCUGACAAGGCAUGGGUUGCUGAGAAGCUGUGGUCCUUGGCGCGGGGAGGAACCCGUGUCAGAAUUGUGGCUGGGUGCUCAAUCGAUGGUAUUCAUUGAAAAAGGAAAACACUCAGAGACAACAAUGUAGAUUCCCAGGCCCUGUCUUCAGCGCUGUGUCCAUGCUUGCUUCAAGUCCUACCACCAGGCCUUGCUGUGGGCUAGCGAACAUAUCGGGGCUCCAGCGAGGGAGACACGCUCCCCACAAUGCACCAGAUGUCACAGCCAGGAAUUCAUGUCCAGG
This is a long non-coding RNA of Zalophus californianus (California sea lion), 307 nucleotides long. RefSeq lists it as uncharacterized. Lineage: Eukaryota; Metazoa; Chordata; Mammalia; Carnivora; Otariidae. The record is from RefSeq and is a predicted model, not a curated record. The transcript has 3 exons.